CGACUCCUCGUGUUUGGCGAUUGAACCUGGAUUUUUAAUUUUCGAGUACGAGAAAUCUGUUCAUUCCUCGACACUAGUAGUUG
Molecule: non-coding RNA, 83 nt
Organism: Drosophila ananassae
Lineage: Eukaryota; Metazoa; Arthropoda; Insecta; Diptera; Drosophilidae
Source: Rfam